AUUGAAAGCUGGCGGCAGGACUAAACAAUGCAAGUAGAGAGAGCGGCGGAAGGGUGAGGAAUGUCUGGGAAAAUGCCUGAUGGAGGGGGAUAACUACUGGAAACGGUAGAUAAUACCGCAUACCAUCAGAAUGGCCCAGAUGGGAUUAGCUAGUAGGUGGGGUAACGGCUCACCUAGGCGAGGAUCCCUAGCUGGUCUGAGAGGAUGAACAGCCACACUGGAACUGAGACACGGUCCAGACUCCUACGGGAGGCAGCAGUGGGGAAUAUUGCACAAUGGGCGCAAGCCUGAUGCAGCCAUGCCGCGUGUGUGAAGAAGGCCUUCGGGUUGUAAAGCACUUUCAGCGGGGAGGCGUUACCCGCAGAAGAAGCACCGGCUAACUCCGUGCCAGCAGCCGCGGUAAUUC
Molecule: ribosomal RNA, 406 nt
Filed under: uncultured bacterium
Lineage: Bacteria
Description: partial 16S ribosomal RNA
Rfam family: Bacterial small subunit ribosomal RNA
Source: RNAcentral